Molecule: long non-coding RNA, 1377 nt
Organism: Pseudoliparis swirei
Lineage: Eukaryota; Metazoa; Chordata; Actinopteri; Perciformes; Liparidae
Exons: 2
Source: RefSeq, a predicted model, not a curated record
UGAAGGGCUGAGCCCAGGAUGUGACAGGUCUUUCCAUUACUAAGAGUCAUACCAGUGUCACUCCCCAGUGGAGGAACACUGGAGUCGUUUCUGUCUCGGGUUGCAGCUUAUUGCAUAUAAACCUCGAGCAUCACUUCCCAACAUCUUGCUCCUUGUGGUUCCUCGUUCGUCGCUCGCCUGUCACAUCCUCGAGACGCCCGCGCGCGGCCCCCUCCUGCCGUGUAUGCCGCGUCAUAUCUGUUGAAAUAUGAUGAUAUUUUCUUAACCCGAUUAAGCCUCCCGAGUGGGAUGCGGGAACAUGCCGCUCCGUCUCAGCUCCACGCCGCUCACGCGCCAAACGCAUAAAAGAGGCAAACAAAACAACCCAAAGAGCGCUCGCGAAGCCCCGAAUAAUCCAGAAGGAGAUCCUCUACACUAAAAAAAAUAAUUCAAGCCCUUCUUAGAGGUGAUACAUUUAAAUAUGGUUUGAUACAGUUAAUUAAAUCAAUUACAAAAAUGAACAUAUUUAUAUUUAAUGUGUGUAACAGAAAAUGUAGGAACACUUUCAUGUAUUAGAUUUAUUUAGGUUAGAUGGUGUGCAUAUCAUUGCAAAAUAAAUGUGUUUAAUUGGGGGCUACGCUUUGCGCAUGUGCCAGAUCUCCUGCUCUCAGUCAUCUAACUGUCUUUUCUCCUGACUGACCAGAUGCAGCAAGAUUAAUGACUCAUACCAACUAAAUUACUUGGAUAAUGCAUGUGUGAAGAAUGCAGUUUGAACUUAAUGGCAGGUAUUUGUUGUUGUGACAUUUUAGGCAGACUCGUGGGCAGUUCAGGGGCAGCAGUUAUCUCUACCCAUGUCCAUACACGGACUGUCCAGGUACAUUUAAUUCAUGGAGUAAGCUUUUAAAUCACACAUACAAAAGCCACCCGAAACAGAAAACUCCAAGGCCAGUAGAAGUACCUACAAUCAGUGUCAUGUGCUUUUGUAGAGAGUUAGUAACCAUUAGCAAUCAUUUAUUUCUUGAUUUGUCGCCCCUGUUUCAGUAUGACAUCAACACCAGGGGGAGUGCAUCGUGAGAAGCCUUGUCAUCGACCUCAAUGAAGAUCUUUGAGUUCGCUGGGUGUUUAUUUUCCCCCAGUUGCUGAACUGUUACAGGAGAACCGUUUGCAGGGUAUUUGAUGAGGAACACUCCUCUUAAAAUGUUCUUACAAAUAAAAAUGUUAAUAUCUUUCUUUUGUGCAUUGAAGUUCAAUUGAGAUGUAUUGUUAAUGACUUCCUGAUCAGUCCGUUUAUUUUUUUCUAUUUGUUAAAUAUGUAUUAUUUAAAUGCAGUCGUAUAAAGUGAUUUCGUCAGUUUUGACCAUAUUAAACUUAUUUCAGUAUUUGCAAUAAAAACCUCAA